UAUAAUUUACUUGAUCUUGGCACAAUCCUACUUGGAUAACUGUGGUAAUUCUAGAGCUAAUACAUGCAUUAAAGCUCUGACCUCACGGGAAGAGUGCAUUUAUUAGAACAAAACCAAGCAGCUUCGGCUGUUUCUGGUUGACUCAUAGUAACUGAGCUGAUCGCAUGGUCUUGCACCGGCGACGUGUCUUUCAAGUAUCUGCCGUAUCAACUUUCGAUGGUAGUGUAUCUGACUACCAUGGUGAUCACGCGUAACGGAGAAUAAGGGUUCGGCUCCGGAGAGUUCGCCUGAGAAAUCGCGAACACAUCUAAGGAAGGCAGCAGGCGCGAAAAUUACCCACUCUCAGCACGAGGAGGUAGUGACGAAAAAUAACGAGACCGUUCUCUUAUGAGGCCGGUCAUCGGAAUGGGUACAAUUUAAACCCUUUAACGAGUAUCUAUGAGAGGGCAAGUCUGGUGCCAGCAGCCGCGGUAACUCCAGCUCUCAAAGUGCAUAGAAUUAUUGCUGCGGUUAAAAAGCUCGUAGUUGGAUCUGUGCCAUAGGACGUGGUCCACCUUCGGGUGCGUGCUACGCUCCUAGGCUUUUUGCUGGUUUUCCCGUCGUAGCCUUCACUGGUUGCGGCGGGUGGCUGGCGAGUUUACUUUGAGAAAAUCAGAGUGCUCAAUACAGGCGUAUCGCUUGAAUGAUUGUGCAUGGAAUAAUAGAAAAGGAUUUCGGUCCUCUUUUAUUGGUUUUGUGGACUGAGAUAAUGGUUAACAGGGACAAACGGGGGCAUUCGUAUCUCUGCGUGAGAGGUGAAAUUCUUGGACCGUAGAGAGACGCCCUACUGCGAAAGCAUUUGCCAAGAAUGUCUUCAUUAAUCAAGAACGAAAGUCAGAGGUUCGAA
RNAcentral lists this ribosomal RNA (886 nucleotides) under Nematoda environmental sample. RNAcentral describes it as "SSU rRNA". It matches the Rfam family "Eukaryotic small subunit ribosomal RNA", at positions 111 to 1002 of the family's 1831-position model. Lineage: Eukaryota; Metazoa; Nematoda. The record is from RNAcentral.